Molecule: long non-coding RNA, 873 nt
Organism: Xenia sp. Carnegie-2017
Lineage: Eukaryota; Metazoa; Cnidaria; Anthozoa; Malacalcyonacea; Xeniidae
Exons: 2
Source: RefSeq, a predicted model, not a curated record
GAACGCUCGUGAUAUUUGGCUAUUUGUUGUUGGCCGUAUCGUCAUGAGGAUUUGAGGACAGAGAUAAGUUGAAGACAUUGUCUGAGAAAAAAAGCAAUACUUGUUAUUGUCUUAGACAGAGAAAUUAAUACUAUCCUUUUAUUUCUUUAUUAGAUUUCUUCAUUUAAUAUAUAAUAUAAAAUAAUUAAAGUCUCCUGCUUUUAAACGCGAACGAUUGCCAAAAAAUGCAAGGAACGAAGGAGUUGGUGUGGGUGUAACAAAUUUAAGGCUCACACACUACGCAAUAAGGUGAAAAAAUAUUGUGGACAAUUUUCGAAAAACUAUUUGGCAUUGCCAUUACUUUAUGGUCUUAUGGGAAGAAACAUAAUAGAGUUUGGCCACAGUACCUAUAUCUUUGGAAACCGCAUUACCAAACACUACUUGUACUCAUCUGGACAGGAGAUAGUAGGUCAUUACCGUUGCGAAUGAGGGAUAAAUGAAUCAAAUCUUGCCGUGGGCACCAUAAACAAGACUUACACUCGUGUACAGUGGAGACUUAAACAUCAUAAAUAUAAUGUCUACUUGAUUCAAGUACUGUGAAUUUUCCAUACAUUUUGAGUACGGGAGAAAAACCAGGGGCAGGAGAAUCUCGUUAGUCAGAAAAUCCAAAAUGUGUUAUGUCAGAUGAUAACUAUGAUAACCGUGCACUUUGGGAGAUUAACUGAAUUUAAAAAACAUACUACCCAGCUUUUUAGUGAAGAACUUCAUGUACUACAAUAUCCUUGAAACAUCAUUUUUAGUUGGUUGAUUAAAUCUUGCAAAGUAAUUUUGACAUUGCAAGACUUUUACGACAACUGCAAAUAUUAACAAAAUUUUAUCGCAGCUAUCACCAGA